AAAUGGAAAAAUACAAGUGAAGUUGACAGUGGCCAGAGUGCAUGGCUGUGUUAUUAACAUUAAUAUGCUGUGCAUAUGUAUUUAAGCUAUACCCAAUGCAGCUUCCCCCUCUCCAGUGUGAAAUUCCCUAACAGAUGCUGUCCACAUAUUUGUGGCAGCAUUCAAAAAAAGAGCGACAAGAUGCAGCACUUGGCAGGGAGUCACAUUGUAAUGGAUGGACACAAAUAUAAUUUUGUUCAGAGUAGCCAGUAAUUUCUGCCUAGCUGGAAGACAGGGGAUAGACAUGUGGCUGAACAUCAUGCAGAAUUUAAAAUUUCUGGCCUAAAAUAGUAAGGAAAUGAAGUGUUUUGAAGAGCAAUACUGUGCUAGUUCCUGUGGACUGUCUCCAGCUUAAUUUUUUGUAUGUUAUUUAUUACAUAUGAUUGAAACAAGUAUAAUACAUCCUGUUUGUUUGAAAUUACUUAGCUCAGGCCUCCAGGACUUAUGACAGACAAACCUUUUGAAACACUUUCUAGACACAUCUUUAAAAUAGGUUCUGUUUAAGAAAACAAAGUUGUCAUUUGUUUUUGGGGUUUUUAAAGGAAUAUUCGAAAGUUAUUUACAGAAAAUAAAUAGCUAAUAGCUAUUUACUUCAAAUAUUCAAUUUUAAAAAUUUUCAACUCAAAGUCCUGACUAAUGUGGUGCAGAAUCUUUAUUUUGUGAACUACUAUAUUGUGGGGUUUUUUAAAAUAUUGUACAUUUUUAUGUUCUGUUCUGCUCUUAGCUCUUUUACAAUGGACCAGUCAAUCUUCUGCCUUGAUGUUCUUUAAUUCUUUGGUGGUUUCUCAACCCGGAGCACAGGAUUGAGAAUACCUUAGUAUUAAUCUUCCAGGUGAAGAGCAUCACUCAGAUCUGAGGUUCUUGUGCCCUUUUCAACCUUUACUACACAGUGUUGAAGAAGGGGUCUUGUAAUGUUAGAACUGCACUGUCCUUGCUAGCUUACUUCACACUAACUAGGCAUCAUAUAGCAGCAAGCUUCUGGUGGCUUCAAACUGAAACCAUCAUCUUUACCAUGAAAAAUACUGUAUUUGAGGUUAGCUUGUGCCCAUGCAUCUGCAUUAAAGCUACAGCUCCCAUAGAUACCCAGGUGGGUGUAUCUGCUCUGGAAUGUCAGGAGGGGAUUGCCUACGUUAGAUCCUGCUCUGGAAAGUGGAGGACCUUGUGCUGCUUAAGUUCACAAAACCAAAAUGAAGUCAGUCAUCAGUCUGUUCUGGUCCUUUGCACAGAAUAGAUGCUGCUUUGCAGGAGCAAAUGUAUUAGCAAGAAAAAGAAAAUGAAAUGAAAACCUGAGCCUAUUUGAAACAAUGUAUGACAAACCACUGAGUCUUGUGCCAGUAUGUUUACUUUGGCAGGCCUCCCCUCUCUCCUGCUAAAAGAACCAAGCUCUCUCUGCUAUGAGAAUUCUUCUGUGGAUGUUUAAAAAAAAAAAAGAGAGAGACAGAAAAGAAAAACAAAACAACCACCCUGCAGCAGAUCAUUCAUCAUACACAGAGUAGGAGCAUGAAAGGGGAUUUGUUUCGACCUAGUUACAAAAACAAAGAGACUUUCUCUAAUUGCCCAAAUGACUCAAGUGGGACUGGGUGUCAAAAGCAACAAAUCUCUGACUCCUUCAGAACUUAUGUUAAUACAGGGCACCAGGCUCCAGCCUGUUCCAGUGCAAGACCUGGAGUCCAAAAAAGCCCAGGUAAGCAAAAGCCGGCCAACUACAUAUGUCUGCAUGUACAAACAGGACCAGCAGCCAGGACAAACAUGUUUAAUAAAUUAUAACAAAGACAGUGGCUUUAAAUGCUGACAGUAUCAGGGCUUCAAGGUUUGCUUUGCCAAGAUUUGCAGGUGAGUGAGACUUUAUUGCUUUACCAUUCUGGUACUGCCACAGGAAGGGUCUCUCUUACUCUCCAGCAGCAUUUGCUGGUCUGUUAUUGAUCCACUAAGCCUAACUUUUUACUUCACAGGAGCCUGAGGGCAACUGCAUAUCCAAACUGCCACGUGAACACCGUGGCCACCUUUUCCACACAUCACUGAAAAGGACAGGGUUUGUACACUGCUAUUGCUGGGUUUGGGGUAAAAAAAGCAAGAUCAAAUACAGAUAGGGCUGGGGAAUAAGAGCUAAAAUGAAGGAGAAAAGGAAAUAGAGGGAGAUAAGGGGCAUGAGUAGAGGGAUGGGUUUUAUGUAGAUAUACGGGAGAAGAAAGUAGAAGAAAAGGCCAUUCAUCAGCUACUGAAAACAGCCUGCAAAAAUCAGUGUACAAGAGCUCUGAAGAUGCCUGCAUACAGCCAGGCAAAAAACUGUCCAUUUGGCAUCUCAUUGUACAGUAUUUCCAUGAUAGCAGUAGUUGUCCAUUCUAGGAGACUAAUUUCUAGGGAGCUAGAAUUUCUGCUAGGAGCCCUAAUAAGGGCUGACCCUUCAUUGGAAAUAUAUGAAUUUAGGCAGCUGAUGACCUAGUCUUCAAUUCUUAUGUAGGGACUGCUGGUGCUGUCCUCUGUGCUGUGGAGAUGGGGCAAGCAGAAAAAACUUUUCUGAAACCCAAAUAAAAUUUCUGGUUCUAUUCAGGUUUAGAGGGAAGGUUCACAGGAGUUUGUAUUUUUUCCCCAGCUGGUUCACCAUCUAUUUUAGAUGGAACUGUUUGAUCUCUUUCUGCUUUGUGUUUCUUUCAGUUUCCCAAACAAUAGGAGGAAGCUCUCCUGUUACGUGUGCUUGGGCUCCAACCAACCUUUUCCCAGCUGGAAAAAUCACUCCAUGUAUUACAGAGGAUUUUUUUUUUUCCCCAGCUGUAAUUAUAAGAUUUCCAGUUCCCUUAUGCAUUUUGUAAGGUAGGUACAGGCUGUCUUAAGGAUAACAAUAGGACAUUCCUGAGUGCUUAAACAACUGCUGUUUCCCCACCAUCACCCCCUCUAAAACUGGAGGGGGACUUAAGCACAUUUGAGCUGUUCCGCUGAAGGUUACAGAGACCCCAGCUGAAAAAACAUUCAGGGAGGUGCACAGCUCCACGUAAUGCUCCAGCUUUGGUGACUAAGAUACCCAGGCUCUUCCUGUUACCUGAUUAUAUACACAAACACUCCAAAUUCACCAGACUAGCUGGGAGGACUUGGCAAGUGCACAGGGAAUAUCUGUGCAAGGGACAGCUGGCAGAACUGUCAGAUGGACAUGCACAGCACAGUUUAAGAGGCCAGGCUACAACCAGCCUGGUAGACAAACUUGCCCAAGGGAGCAGCAUGGAUCCCUUCCUUAAUAGAAAUAAGACCUCAUACUUGACCCAAAUGUUCAUCUACAUCAACAAACAGGUCCCACCCAUCAGCAUACAUUCAGCAAACUUCAUCUCUUCGUCCUCUGACAAAACUAUCCAGCUGAUCCUGACUGUCCCAUCCCAACACACAUCAGGUACAAUAAGGUCUGUUCCACUAGAUGAAAGGUGGGGAAGCGGGCAAAAGAGAACAUUAAUGCUGACUGCCAUGCUUAGGAGGGAGAAGAAAGACAAAUAACUAGGCUAUAGAAUGGCUCUGGCUAAUUGUCAUCAUCCCCUUGCCCUGCUGGGGAGAAGUGCCUUAUUUUAGGGACCCUAAUGUUUCCAUGAUUCUCACACAGGUAACAUCCAGCUGGGAUCCUGGAGCAUCUGGGCACUAAGGAAGCAAACACUACUGCUAGCCAGGACCAGCAUAUGCAACAGAAAUAAGGAUUAAUGUGUGCUGUGGAAGGGUUUUGAGGCCUCAGCAGUUAGUCCCUCGUUGUGCUGGUGAUGUUUCAGACAAGCAAGCACUGCUGAUACCGAAGAAAGCCUGAGCAGCUGAUGCUCCUGUAGUCCAUGAGAGUAAACUUCGGGGGACCUGGCAGAGUCUCACUGCUGCUCAACCAAGGGCAACGCUGGAAACAGAGAGUAAUCCUAUGGCAGAAGAAAAGCUAUGAUGCUUCCCAGCCUCCUGCUCUGCACCUCACCAUUUCUGGUGCCAAGACCUCCCCAUGCACAGCGAGUGUCCUCCCCUGUGCCGUGAUCAGACUGUGUCAAACGUGCUGCUAACAAACACAUGCAGGGACUCACUUCCACCUUGGCGCUGCCUGCUGAUGUGCGUGUGAUAUCAGUGAGUAAAAUAAGCCUCGAUCUUUACAAAAGCAGUGCUCUAAGUUUAUCUUACUUCAAAAAAUAAGUUCCCUCUACAAAAGCAGGAAGCUUACUCUGUCUCCUUUCCCACAACAAUCUACAUUUUUGGGGAAAUGCCAGCCCUGGGACUCUUCCUGUCUUUUCAUUAUGUCAGAAAGCUCAUGGUGUGUUCAAAAAUAAUCAACAUUAGGAUUUACUCUUUUUUAAACAAAUGAUGAUACAACAUUAUUUAUAAACAGGUAUUAUUAAAUCCAGAUGCUUUUGUGUCUGAAGUUGGGACAGAGAUUGUUGACUCCAAGUCAAGCAGUCAUUCAUUUCAUGACUUUUAUCUUCCUCUCAGGCAGAGCCUGCAAGAAGUGGUGGCAAGACAAAAGUUACUCAGCCAUAAAACAGAGUAUUUACUGUGGCUGUGCAAUGGGUAGGGGCACAGCCCCAGGACUCAAAGGGAGAACAAAACAUAUGUUGUAUGUGGUGGGAAAAGCUUGAAUCAAAGCACUAUAAUCAAUAUACCUGAAAGCAGCUAAGGAUUUGGGGGUGCCCAGUUGAGAAGCAUAAUUUUCAGAAAGUACAUGGGUAUCAGCUUCUGAAAAUUUGGCCAUUUUGAGUUGUCGCAAGAUGAACAGCCAUUUUUUGUACACUCUUCCAACAGAUAGUCAGAAGUUCCUUAUUACCCCUGAAAAUAUAGGCUUUCUUCCACACUCUACCCUCUUUUUGGAACUAGUGACCUAGCAACUCCCCUUCCUGCUAGUAUGCUACUGCAUGACUGCUGGCAUGUCUGUACUGCCCUAAGGAGACACUGAGCCAAAUCCAACCCAUUAUAGCUGUGGAAACACAAGGGGAGGCUACAAGGGAGAGACGAGGUCUUGGAGAAUGGGAUAAAGUAAAACAUUUGGCUCUAACUUAGAUUGGAGAAAAAGAAUGAAACAUUUGACUGUGACCUCUUCUACUUAGAGACCCUCUUUUUGCUCCAUAUUUGUCCUGUGCUUAAUGUUGUACAGUUCUGCUUCAUGUCUGUGGCUGCUGGGUUUGUAGGGCAAAAUGGGCAGGGGGAGGAGAGAAGAAGGCUUGGUUUUCUGUGCUCUGUAUCUAGGGCUGAAGGCUCUGGAAAGCAAAGGUGUAUUUGGGACGAGCAUGGAAAAAAACCUGGUUUUUAGCAAAAGUUAGAGAGAAUCUCUAACUCCUGAGAGUAAAUACAAGUGCCCAGAAAAUGAGAGGGAAAAGUUGUAGAGUAGUUGCUCCAGGUCUUGGGGCAAGGUGGAUCUACCCCUGUAGAGGACCUAAACCAGACUGGACUCAAUAGGCUGAAGAUCCCUGUUUCACAGCCAGCCUUCAGAGGCUGCUUGGGGCAGUUUGGGCUACCUAAUAACAAAUUAAUCUGCAUUUGAUUGAAGUGAUCUCAGAAAGAAAAAAUCAGGUAGAGCCUCCAGUGCUUGCACAUUUCUGCCAGCCUCCUCUGUGGUCAGAAUGCAAUGGUAAAAACUUCUAGGGGUGUGCUUCACCCUGCCACAGGUCUGGUUAAGAGUAGAAUUGCUCAGAUUUGGCAAGUGCUCCAUAGAGAAUAUUUGUGUAAUUUAGCUGGUUGUCCCCAAAACAAUUGCACAGAGAGAGCGUCUCUAGGAACCCUUCAAAGACUUUGUUUUUUCAUAGACUGGAAAUACUUAAAGACCCCUAGCUAUCUUUUUGUGAUGCCAAGUGCAGCAUAGACUCUGGUCUGUCAUGUUCUGGUCUAAAUAUUUUCCUCUCAGCAUCUGAGACAGUUUCAUACAAGUACUGAAGAGUCAGCAACCACAAGAAAACUGCAAACAUUUUCCAGGAUGUCUCUUCCAUUCUCUGUCCUCCCAGCUGAAGCUUCAUGAUGGAAAUUUGUCCUACUCUCCACACGGUAAUUGUCAAAUAGUGUUGGAACAAAAGCUGUGUGCCUAUUUUUGAGAUGAUGAAGCCCAUGAAGAAGGAAAAAUAUCUUGUCUACUUUUCUGUAAGGUGAAGAUGUGGAGGAUCAUAAAGACACAAUUUAUGACUCACAUGGUUAAAGCUUCUCUAGGAAAGUAAGAAUAUAAUGUAUAAAUAUGUGCCAGAUUUUGCUUUUAGGCAUGAGACUGAGCCAGACCCUCAUCUGGAUGGAACAGAGUUAAAGGCUCCCAGUUAUGCUAUGCUGACUUACUCACAUUAUGGUUUUUUGACCCUGAGGAGUUAAGAUGCACUACAUUGACUGUACACCUGUGUAACCAAAGAGGGAUCUCUGCCCUUGUCAGUGCUCACCUGACUAAGUUUUGGGCACAGGUUUUCAGUAUGUGUGUCCCUGGCAAUAAACCAUAACAGUUGUGCUGGCCCACACAUUUCUUAGGAAGCUUAAAAAUACAGGAUCAGCAUCUGCACUGGGAACUCUGGCUUAUCUAGAGCCCUCUAGUCAAUAUUUUGAUUGGCAAAUCACAUCUUUUCCUCUGUGGCUACACAGCUCACAGAGGUGGGAGCCUGUCCUCUUGUCUCUGGGGAAUAUUGUGCUCACUGCAGCACCUGAUCACUACAAAGAUUUGAAGUCCAGUGGGAGCUGCAAGAGUGAGAGUUGCUUUCAAGUCUCUUGUCCAGCUGAUGUAUAAUCAAAAUCUGCAUGUCUGAUCAUCUGGUCAGCACUUUGCCCAGCCUCAUUUCAGCCAUUAUCUGUUACUUGGAUGCAUGCGAUGUGCUUUUCUGCAAUUGGGCUCAAUGGAGAACUGUCCUGAGCUGGACCUGGCAGCACGAGCUGAAGAUGAUGGGCAGUUUGCAGGGGAAGCUUUUCUUUGUUCAGAAAAAUUCUCAGUGAUGUAUCUUGUAUUACCUUGGGUUUCUGUGCUUCACACAAUGCUCUUCACUUUUCUUUUGCAUAGUUUUGGGUUAUACUAGGCUCCAUCCUGCCAUACAUCCCUCACUGCGAGCAUG
Molecule: long non-coding RNA, 7049 nt
Organism: Passer montanus (Eurasian tree sparrow)
Lineage: Eukaryota; Metazoa; Chordata; Aves; Passeriformes; Passeridae
Exons: 3
Source: RefSeq, a predicted model, not a curated record